AGGAUAUUUGAGAGGAGCUGUUCCUAGUACGAGAGGACCGGAAUGGACGAACCAAUGGUGUUCCAGUUGUCGCGCCAGCGGCAUUGCUGGGUAGCUAAGUUCGGAAUGGAUAACCGCUGAAAGCAUCUAAGCGGGAAGCCAACCUCAAGAUAAGAUAUCCCUCUGUAUGGCAACAUACAGACUAAAGACCCCUUGUAGACUACAAGGUUGAUAGGCCAGGUGUGUAAGUGCGGCAACGCAUUUAGCUUACUGGUACUAAUCGGUCGUGCGGCUUGGCCGCA
Molecule: ribosomal RNA, 281 nt
Filed under: Candidatus Desulfatibia profunda
Lineage: Bacteria; Pseudomonadati; Thermodesulfobacteriota; Desulfobacteria; Desulfobacterales
Description: partial 23S ribosomal RNA
Rfam family: Bacterial large subunit ribosomal RNA
Source: RNAcentral